ACGGAAGGUAGCAGUAGGGAAUAUUGCACAAUGGGGGAAACCCUGAUGCAGCGACGCCGCGUGAGCGAUGAAGUAUUUCGGUAUGUAAAGCUCUAUCAGCAGGGAAGAUAAUGACGGUACCUGACUAAGAAGCCCCGGCUAACUACGUGCCAGCAGCCGCGGUAAUACGUAGGGGGCAAGCGUUAUCCGGAUUUACUGGGUGUAGAGGGAGUGUAGGUGGUUUGGCAAGCCAGAUGUGGAAGCCCGGGGCGCAACCCCGCAGACUGCAUUUGGAACUGUUAAACUUGAGUGCAGGAGAGGAAAGUGGAAUUCCUAGUGUAGCGGUGAAAUGCGUAGAUAUUAGGAGGAACACCAGUGGCGAAGGCGGCUUUCUGGACUGUAACUGACACUGAGGCUCGAAAGCGUGGGGAGCAAACAGGAUUAGAUACCCUGGUA
RNAcentral lists this ribosomal RNA (435 nucleotides) under uncultured Lachnospiraceae bacterium. RNAcentral's name for it is "partial 16S ribosomal RNA". It matches the Rfam family "Bacterial small subunit ribosomal RNA", at positions 341 to 792 of the family's 1533-position model. Lineage: Bacteria; Bacillati; Bacillota; Clostridia; Lachnospirales; Lachnospiraceae. The record is from RNAcentral.